AGUGAACGCUGGCGGUAGGCCUAACACAUGCAAGUCGAACGGCAGCACAGUAAGAGCUUGCUCUUACGGGUGGCGAGUGGCGGACGGGUGAGGAAUACAUCUGAAUCUACUUUUUCGUGGGGGAUAACGUAGGGAAACUUACGCUAAUACCGCAUACGACCUACGGGUGAAAGCAGGGGAUCUUCGUACCUUGCGCGAUUGAAUGAGCCGAUGUCGGAUUAGCUAGUUGGCGGGGUAAAGGCCCACCAAGGCGACGAUCCGUAGCUGGUCUGAGAGGAUGGUCAGCCACACUGGAACUGAGACACGGUCCAGACUCCUACGGGAGGCAGCAGUGGGGAAUAUUGGACAAUGGGCGCAAGCCUGAUCCAGCCAUACCGCGUGGGUGAAGAAGGCCUUCGGGUUGUAAAGCCCUUUUGUUGGGAAAGAAAAGCAGCAGGUUAAUACCCCGCUGUUCUGACGGUACCCAAAGAAUAAGCACCGGCUAACUUCGUG
Molecule: ribosomal RNA, 492 nt
Filed under: uncultured bacterium
Lineage: Bacteria
Description: partial 16S ribosomal RNA
Rfam family: Bacterial small subunit ribosomal RNA
Source: RNAcentral